RNAcentral lists this long non-coding RNA (285 nucleotides) under Jatropha curcas. Its description in RNAcentral is "long non-coding RNA (JCUR_LNC000544)". Lineage: Eukaryota; Viridiplantae; Streptophyta; Magnoliopsida; Malpighiales; Euphorbiaceae. The record is from RNAcentral.
UUUGAUAAGUCUUUACUGCCUACCGUUUGAGACAGACUAGCCGUACCAUGAACGGGUACGAUCGCUUUAGGUGUAGAAGACAUACCUGGCGCCUCUGUGGAAGAGGACGCUAUACUUUGUAACGCCUUAAACACUUCUGGAGAUUGACUUAGCUGUUCAAUCCAUUUUUUAAGAUCUGGAGAAAGUUUAGUGUUUAGGGUUUUAGGUAAAUCUUCUGAAUGCUCAGAGAGAGCUUUAGUGGGUGAUUCAGGUUCUUCUUUAGGGGCUUUGCCCUUAUCCUUUUUC